UACGUAGGUGGCAAGCGUUGUCCGGAUUUAUUGGGCGUAAAGCGAGCGCAGGCGGAAAAAUAAGUCUAAUGUGAAAGCCCUCGGCUUAACCGAGGAACUGCAUCGGAAACUGUUUUUCUUGAGUGCAGAAGAGGAGAGUGGAACUCCAUGUGUAGCGGUGGAAUGCGUAGAUAUAUGGAAGAACACCAGUGGCGAAGGCGGCCCUCUGGUCUGCAACUGACGCUGAGGCUCGAAAGCAUGGGUAGCGAACAGGAUUAGAUACCCUGGUAGUCCAUGCCGUAAACGAUGAGUGCUAAGUGUUGGGAGGUUUCCGCCUCUCAGUGCUGCAGCUAACGCAUUAAGCACUCCGCCUGGGGAGUACGACCGCAAGGUUGAAACUCAAAGGAAUUGACGGGGGCCCGCACAAGCGGUGGAGCAUGUGGUUUAAUUCGAUGCAACGCGAAGAACCUUACCAGGUCUUGACAUCUAGUGCAAUCUGUAGAGAUACGGAGUUCCCUUCGGGGACGCUAAGACAGGUGGUGCAUGGCUGUCGUCAGCUCGUGUCGUGAGAUGUUGGGUUAAGUCCCGCAACGAGCGCAACCCUUGUUAUUAGUUGCCAGCAUUAAGUUGGGCACUCUAAUGAGACUGCCGGUGACAAACCGGAGGAAGGUGGGGAUGACGUCAAGUCAUCAUGCCCCUUAUGACCUGGGCUACACACGUGCUACAAUGGGCAGUACAACGAGAAGCAAGCCUGCGAAGGCAAGCGAAUCUCUGAAAGCUGUUCUCAGUUCGGACUGCAGUCUGCAACUCGACUGCACGAAGCUGGAAUCGCUAGUAAUCGC
This 821-nucleotide ribosomal RNA is filed under the name uncultured Bacillota bacterium. RNAcentral's name for it is "bacterial SSU rRNA". It matches the Rfam family "Bacterial small subunit ribosomal RNA", at positions 524 to 1345 of the family's 1533-position model. Lineage: Bacteria; Bacillati; Bacillota. The record is from RNAcentral.